CCGUACAUAGUUGUAUAUUCUUCAUUGUGGGUCCUUCUAGUUGUGGCAUGUGGGACGCUGCCUCAGCGUGGUUUGAUGAGCAGUGCCAUGUCCGCGCCCAGGAUUCGAACCAACGAAACACUGGGCCGCCUGCAGCGGAGCGCGCGAACUUAACCACUCGGCCACGGGGCCAGCCCCGAAGAUGGUGACGUCCCUUGAGCUGGUGCAGCCUGCUGGUUUGUUAGGAUAGCUCCUUGAAUAGUGAGGCCUGCCUUUUCGGAUCCUGCUUCUCCUAACAUCUUAAGACCUUGGAAAAAUGCACUAAUGGGUUUUGUUCUAACUCUGCCUGGUCAUGUAGACACGAUUUUGGUCUUCAGUUGAAUUUGGCAGCCAUGGAAUUUGAGGUUGUGUAUAAAGUCAUCCAAAUUGGCAGCUCCAGCCACAUUGUUGGGACUAAUAUUACAGUGAACAAGUCCACUCAGGGCAAAAGGAAUCAGGCAGAAUUGCUGGAAUCACUACAAUUUUCAGAUGUACUCUCACCUCCCUGAAGAUUUAAAAACUACUCCUUAAGAAAUCCAUUAUUUAUAAUUAGUCUUCUUGAGUCUUAACAAUUUAUUUUUGUUACAUUUUUAUAUAUACAUUCUUAGGGCCAUUAGAAAAACCCACACACCUAUUCUCAGCCAUUACUUGGAUUCAACUCACUGUCAAAUCUACCAUUCUUUUUGCUUUGCUCUCUAUAUCCUUGUAAAAAGAAAACCCCCCAAAAAGCCACCCUCCAAUCCCUUCCCUCCAUGAAAGAACUGAUUUAAAAAUAAAAAGGUAAGUAAAGCAACAAGGAAUGAGAAGAUUCAUUGUGUUGAUUUUGGAAUGAAAGUAUGAUAGUGGAUUUAGCGCAUGUUAUUUAAGUCUGAGGAUGUACUGAAGUCAACCAUGUAAAUCAACCUGUUUGUGUCACCAGACCUAAUCAGGAAACAGCUGAGCAAAACCAGAUUCAGCAAAAUCUGCUGCUCUCUUCAGAUAUUAUAACUUUUUAUAAAAUCUUCAUAUGAAUGUUCUAUGGGAGUGCUUUCAGCACAUCCAUCUGAUCUCUUUUUAUAAGGAGACUGUAUCAAUUCUAAGUUAUAUAUCUGAUAUGCACACACACACAUUUCUCCUGUAGCAGCUGCUCAGAUGUUUUCAGAUGCAUGUAACUUCAGAUCUAACUUCAGGCAAUGGGAUUGAAACAGAAUCCGGACUCCCAUUGCAGUCUGGUCAGUCUGCCGUGGGAUUAUGGGAUCAUUUUGAUGAGGAAUUGGAAUCAUGGCUGAUAGAGGCCUGAUGUAUCAGUUUGGGCUGCUGAGAGCCUGUCUCUGCGUUGUCACAGCCAGAACACCACUGCAGACUGCAUCACACCAAAAUGAGAAGGUCUGAGAGUCCUAAUUUUAUCCAGUACCACUAUAUACUUGUCCAUUUAAACUAGAACUCUAGGGCAUAUCAUGGGAGAAGGUGGCAUCUGACAUGUGUAGGGGUAGAUGGGACACAUGGGCUUUUGGACAGGCUUUUGAGCUCUCUUUCUCUGCAGGACUGGUUUGUUACUUAAAUUGACAGAGUAAUUCAUUAGUGCUUUAAUCAUCAAUAUUUUAAUUCUUUACUUUGGAUCAUGGAUAUAGUCAAAAUGUGCCUAUUUAAUGUUAAAUCAGUUGUUAUAAAAUAUCAAAUAAGCAAUUCUUUUAAAAAAUGAACAGAAUUAAGUGAUAAUUUUACAUAAUUGUCUAACUCCAUUGAUUGUUUUAUGUUCAUUUGGACCCAGGCUGGAAUCAAUAGACCAGAUACGUCAGACUCAAAUGCUUAAAGGAUUAAGAAUUUACUUCAUCUGUGAGAUGGAAUCAAUGAGUCCUUUCAUGCAGCUAUUUGGAAGCUCAUUUUGAGGUCUCUGAUGUGGAAGGGAUAUCAGGAUCAGCUGAUGAUUAUGCUACCUACUCAGGCUCCAAUUUGAUGAUAUGGCUGUGAUGUUUUGCCUCAGAGUUAAUGCAACAUAGAAUAUGUUUUCCUCUGCAGCAAAGCAGCUUGCUGUGGCGGUGUAGCACAAGUUUUGGAGUUCUCUUACCUGAGCUGCCUCUGGCUAUAUUUGAGAGCUGGCAUUUCCCCCCUCCACCGCCUCCAUCAGAGGUGUUGCCAGUGUUUUUGUUAUCUCUGCUUGUGCCUCCAGGGUUGCUGGUGCCUUUGCUGCUGGUUUUGCUGUGGUCACAUGCAUCACCACCAGGGUCACUGGGAUGGCAGGCACCUCUGCUGUGUCCAAGGUUGCCUGGGUCACUAACACUGCUGCUGUGGUUGAUGCAGGGGAGCCAAGGUCACUGGCACCUUCACUGCACCCAAGGUUGUCAGGUUCCCAGGUACAACCACCAAAAGCAGGAAGGGUGGAGUUGCAGGAGCUGCCACUGCUCUCUCAGGGGGCCAGGGUCACAUUCCCUGUGGAGCCUGGGUUCCUUGUGGCCAUAAGUGCCACCGUGGCUGGGGGACUGGAGUCACAUGUACUCCUCCACUGAUGCUAUCAGGUUCUCUGGGGGUGAAGGCACCACUGCAGCUGGAGAGGGGGCGAGGGUCAUGGGCCCCACCUCCCCCACUGCUACUGGGAUUACUGGGGCUGUGGGCUCAGCUGCUGCAGCCAGGGAGGUGUGGUCUCAGGCCCCAUCUCUGCUGUUUCCCUGGUCUCACCACCUCUAUGCAUUCCAGUCUACCCGCCUUCAGAUGUACAGAUGUGUGGAUCCCUCCAGUGUCCUGGUGUGCUGAGCAGAGGAAACUUUGUUGAGUUAUGAAUAUCCUACCUAGUUGUAGAUUGAAGGAAAGAAACAAAAGGAGAAUCUCAUGCCACCAUGAUGCUGAUGUCACUCCUUGAUCUGUCUAUUCUUUUACCAAUAUUACUGCUUUCAUCAUUUUGGGUCUAUGAUUAAUAAAUUAUUUCAUCCCAUAAUCAUUGAGUACCUGGUGUGUGUCUGAAACUGUGUUUGGCAUGAGGAUACAGCAGUUUAUCAGGUGGACAUAGUUCCUGCCCUCACAUUCAUUGUUUCUAGUGCAGGAAACAGGAAAUAAUCAAUGUGUACAACCUAGUGAGCCAUGGGCACUGAGAAAAGAGGCACAAGGUGUUAGGGGAACAUAUGGUAAGGGUCUAUUCCACACUAGGAGUCAAUGAGGAUUCCUGGAUGAGUGAUAUCUAAGUUUAGUCCUGAGGUUCAUGGUAGGCAGGCAAACAGACGAGAGAGAAGUUGAAGAUGGAUGGAACAACAACCUGACAAUCUGAGAGUCAAUAGAGAGCCUGGUGCAUUUGAGAAGCUGAAAACAAUUCUGCAUGGCUGGAGCAGAGUACAGAGGGUUGGUUCCGGACAGGGGAGCCAAACUAUGUUAAGGAUCAUUGCC
This is a long non-coding RNA of Equus caballus (horse), 3372 nucleotides long. NCBI's taxonomy places the organism in Eukaryota, Metazoa, Chordata, Mammalia, Perissodactyla, Equidae. The record is from Ensembl.